CCUACGGGAGGCUGCAGUGGGGAAUAUUGCACAAUGGGGGAAACCCUGAUGCAGCGACGCCGCGUGAAGGAAGAAGUAUUUCGGUAUGUAAACUUCUAUCAGCAGGGAAGAAAAUGAUGGUACCUGACUAAGAAGCCCCGGCUAACUACGUGCCAGCAGCCGCGGUAAUACGUAGGGGGCAAGCGUUAUCCGGAUUUACUGGGUGUAAAGGGAGCGUAGGCGGUUUAGCAAGUCAGAAGUGAAAGCCCGGGGCCCAACCCCGGGACUGCUCUUGGAACUGCGUGGCUGGAGUGCAGGAGGGGCAGGCGGAAUUCCUGGUGUAGCGGUGAAAUGCGUAGAUAUCAGGAGGAACACCGGUGGCGAAGGCGGCCUGCUGGACUGCAACUGACGUUGAGGCCCGAAAGCGUGGGGAGCAAACAGGAUUAGAUACCCCAGUAGUC
Molecule: ribosomal RNA, 440 nt
Filed under: uncultured bacterium
Lineage: Bacteria
Description: partial 16S ribosomal RNA
Rfam family: Bacterial small subunit ribosomal RNA
Source: RNAcentral